CCUAAUACAUGCAAGUCGAGCGGAUCUUCAUUAGCUUGCUUUUGAAGAUCAGCGGCGGACGGGUGAGUAACACGUGGGCAACCUGCCUGUAAGACUGGGAUAACUUCGGGAAACCGGAGCUAAUACCGGAUAAUCCUUUCCCUCACAUGAGGGGAAGCUGAAAGACGGCUUCUCGCUGUCACUUACAGAUGGGCCCGCGGCGCAUUAGCUAGUUGGUGAGGUAACGGCUCACCAAGGCAACGAUGCGUAGCCGACCUGAGAGGGUGAUCGGCCACACUGGGACUGAGACACGGCCCAGACUCCUACGGGAGGCAGCAGUAGGGAAUCUUCCGCAAUGGACGAAAGUCUGACGGAGCAACGCCGCGUGAACGAUGAAGGCUUUCGGGUCGUAAAGUUCUGUUGUCAGGGAAGAACAAGUACCGGAGUAACUGCCGGUACCUUGACGGUACGUGACCAGAAAGCCACGGCUAACUACGUGCCAGCAGCCGCGGUAGUACGUAGGUGGCAAGCGUUGUCCGGAAUUAUUGGGCGUAAAGCGCGCGCAGGCGGUUCCUUAAGUCUGAUGUGAAAGCCCCCGGCUCAACCGGGGAGGGUCAUUGGAAACUGGGGGAACUUGAGUGCAGAAGAGGAGAGC
This 634-nucleotide ribosomal RNA is filed under the name Bacillus sp. (in: firmicutes). RNAcentral's name for it is "bacterial SSU rRNA". It matches the Rfam family "Bacterial small subunit ribosomal RNA", at positions 47 to 662 of the family's 1533-position model. The record is from RNAcentral. Lineage: Bacteria; Bacillati; Bacillota; Bacilli; Caryophanales; Bacillaceae.